RNAcentral lists this long non-coding RNA (5701 nucleotides) under Gallus gallus (chicken). RNAcentral describes it as "lncRNA (ENSGALG00010018357.1)". Lineage: Eukaryota; Metazoa; Chordata; Aves; Galliformes; Phasianidae. The record is from RNAcentral.
CUCAGGAAAGCUCCAUCUACCACUUAACUCUUCUUCCUUCUCGCCUGUCUUCUCACUUGUACUUCUCUCCCUCUCCCAGGCAGUUCACUCCUUUUUAAAAACCCUAUUUAUUUUGUCUGAAUGGGACUGCGGAAGGUGGGUGAAUGGGAGAGGUGUUGAAUCAGAGUCCCCAGCUAAUAUGAGAACAAUAAAGGCAGGUGUGACUUUAGGAACACGGGGACUGGAAAAAUCUCAGUUGGUUUGUAAGUCAGCAGGGACUGGGAAUACAGGAAAACUCUCUUUUCACUGGUUAGAAAUCCUUGCAGUAUAAUUACAAAACACACUGAUGUAGGAAAAAAACACUGAAAUGUAAACUGCAUAGUACAGCUGUGGCACUGUGGCAGAAAUCAUGGCAGAACUUUUGUUACGAUGGGAAAGCAAAAAUCACAGGCAUGUUUCACUGAAGACCUUGUGUUGUUGCUGUCAAUUUCUGUCCAAGCAACCAGGACCGUAAUAUCUACAGACUUGUUUAACACAGUGGGUGGUAAGCUGGAUAGGUAACUAUAGAGAGGGUCUGACUAUAGUUCUGUCUACCAUCCAGCCCUGUUAAUCUCCAGCAGUUGUCAGGAUAGGAUGUUCAGGAAAAAACAAAGCAGGGUGUGGAUAGAGCAAUCCCUCUGUAGCAACAGCCUCCCACUUCAGUGAUGAGCAGUUUAGGAACUUUGUGAGCUGGAGGCUGCUGCCAGGCUUUGAUAUCUGAUAGGCACUGACAGAUUUACCCUUCUUGAAUUUGUCUAAUCACUUUCUGAACCGAUGUGAACUUUUGAACUCCACCACAGCAGCGAGUCUCACUGUUUUAAUAUAGAAAAUAGGCUGUGGAGGUAUGGUGUGUGUGGGGAAAACUGACUUCAUUUUGUUUGUUUUGUAUCUGUCAAUGGAUAAUUUUAUUAGCUAACUUGUGUUGCAGGGGAUAGUGAAUAAGCAUUUCCCACUCACUCUCUCCACAACAUCUGUGAUAUCGAAUCUAUCACCCCAGUCAUCUCUCUUUUAAAAUAAACAAACAAGCAAAAAUAGAGGCUGUUUGAUUCUCCAUGGAGAGAGCUGCUCCUCACAUAUUAUCACCCCAGUUGCUCUACUUAGUGCAUCCCCGAGUCCAGCAAUUCCACUGAGGAGCAGCAGCAUCACAACCGCAAGCAGAGCUCCAGAUGGCAGCUAUAUGAGGAUCUAUGAAAUGAAAGGUCAAUCUGAAAAGGAACAAACAGCGAGAACAGAGCAAAAGACUGUAGCUGGGAAACAGCCAGAGAUGUGUGGUGUCAGAAUUUGUGUGAUGGUCAAACAACAGCCUUCAAAGGAGUAGCCUAGCAGUACUGUGAGGCAGGUUUGUUAACAGUGUCAGGAGCUGAGCGUGCUGUGAUGCCUGGGGUACUGCUCAAGGCUAGAGGUGGCAGGGAAGAGGAAAUGUGAAACUCGCAAAUAUCUUUCUGUCCUAUUUGGCUGAUAAAGGUACCUGUCUACUUUCUAUCAUUUGCUGCCUUUCAGAAGACUUGCAUGUUACUGUUUCUCAGCCAGCAGCCCAGUCAGCAGGUAUUUCAGAAUAACAGAAAUUAUUUCAGCUAACUGGAGAAAUACAUACUUCUAUGCACCAGGUAACUUCAAAGACAAUUCUGUCAAUAGGGACAGCGUAUUUCCAGCGAGUCUGAGACAUUUAAAAGUAGUAGGGCUGCAGAGUUCAUUCCAACUGGAAGCUCAGGAAGCACAACAUAAGUAGCACGUUGCCAGCUCGUCAGCUGAAGCAUGGUGAUGUGCCUGUGCUUGUGGAAUGGCUGAUAUUUUCAUAGCAGAAAUGACUGACAGAGCAACGCUGUCCACAGCUCCAGGCUGCACUGCUACAGGAUGAGUUUCGAUGGCUUGAACUACUGCUGAAAUCCCUUUCUCUGUUCUAUCAAGAAAGACACUGAUCUGAAUUUAGCUAACAGUUUUUAGGCCACACUUAUACUGCACUCAGAGAGGAUCGAUUGAUUUAUUUAUAGCAGUAGUUCAAAAUUUUUGGAGUUGGAAAUUUCCUUGUCUUUCUCGUAACAAAUCAACAUCAAUACAAAUGCUAAGAGAACAUCAUCAAAAGAAAAGAAAAAAAGAAAAAAGAAAAAACUUGAAGCUAGACUCUUAGAUAGAUUUUACUUUCCAAUUGUAUGUUAUAAAUGUCCAAAACAGGUUGGAGAGAACUCCUCUACGCCUAGGUAAGUAAUAGGUGAAUUACACAGUAGUAGAUAUAUUUAAGGUUUUAAGACUAUCUGCUCUGGAACAUCCCUAACUACAGUGAAAUGCACAGAUAAUUACUUUCACAGUUUAGGGUGAGAAAUAAAAGAAAGGAAAAACUUCCUUCCAGCUAAAAUUGGUAAGGGGCAUAGUCAGAUAAACAAAAUAAGAACUUAACAGCACUCUUGGCCAGGACACCAGGCCUACUGAUUAUGCAGCUGUGAACAUGCAAAGCCAGAGCUUCAGAAAGUGAUUUUUAAAACCACAGACCAAAGGUAACAGGCUCCAAAGUGCUAGCCCCUACACGCUCUAUACAGGACAGUUAUUUAGGGCAAACCCAGGUGCAUAACUGUGAAGGACGCAUACCUUGAACUUUCUUCCAGUACUGUUCUCAUAUCCCCCUCUGUUUUUGCCCUCAGAGAGAUUUAUAUUCCUUCAGCUUAAGUGGCACUUGAGUGUAGAGUGGAGGAGCUGGUAGCUGAUAUGGCCAUGAACAAGACAGGUGGUGACUUUAGAAGGAGGCUCGCUCUCCACUGUCCAUGGGCUUGGGGCAGGAGAAUUAGGCUAAUCUUGUACAACCUCUACUCCUUUCAUUUCUUACACAGAUUCAUUCACCUUUUAUCUUGCAUGAAAUGCAGGGGAUGCUCUUGGAAUACCAGGGCAGCCAUUGAACAGUAUCAAAGAACCAAGAGGCAUACCCUGCAAUACCAACCAGCUUUGACAAUGGGGAGAAGGGACUACUCCACAUCUAUAAAUAUUUAGGAUUAUUCAUCAAUUCUUUUCAUUUUGCAGGUCCUUUUCUUCUGCGUUCUCAUAGCUUAAUGCCUCCACUGGACUGCUUCCGAAGGAGCAGUCUUUCUGCAGGUGCAGUGUUGUAACAGCUGUGAAACAUUAGUCACCGUUUUAUCAGUGUUAAAACGUUCAAGACAAUGCUUCUAAGAGCACUAUCACUCAACAUACUAUCUAGUAAUUCUAUUGCAACAAGUCAGAAGAUUGAAUAAAACCUUCCAUUCAUGUUGCUCAUCUUGUUCUGUACCCGUGACUGGAGAUCAGCAAGUCUGAGUAAACCCCUUCCAGCUGUAAGCUCUGUGUGUUUAUACUGCAACAGUUCAGUAAAUCCAUUCAGCUUCCAGUAAGAAAUGUCUUUGUUUAUGGCUCUUUUACGAUACUCCCAAUCACCGUCAAAGGAUUCUACAGAAAUAUUUUUAAAAGAUUCAGUUCUGACUUAAUCAAUGCCAUUGUAGAUCAGGAAUAACUCCAUUAAGCUGAUAUGAUGUAAAAUCUAGUUUAUAUUUGCAUGCAGCAGUGAUGUGAGCCUUCUGAAAACUUAGGAGUUCAGAUACACUUAUGGCAAGUCCUGUGUAUGAUAAUUUACUUAAUGAACAUACUGAUGCCCAUGUUAUCUCAACUAAAUUGAGUAGUUGAGACUAAACUCUGAACCCCCUGAAAUCUUGACAAGUAUUGCCAUAGAUAUAGCUGACUCAGGAUUUCACAGAAUACAUAUUUAUUAGGGACUGCUGUUAAGAGAAUUCUCCCGUGUUUUAAAUCACUCUGCGGUGGUGAAUAAUUAAUACUCAGAAAAAGUUCAAUAUUUCUUUCUGCAAGUAGGCCAAGCCAGCAGCCUACUGGAUUUGAAGAUGCAGCUCAAAUAUGCAUAAUCUCCUAUUUCAACAGUAUCGCCUGCACUUGCAGCAGAGCACUGCACACUCACUCUCCCUUCCUUGCCUCCGUAGUUUCUUUACUGUGGAAAAGAGUUUACACCUAACAAUGACAUUAAAACAGGAGUUAGUUACUGUACGUGUUCGCACGCCAGAAGCAGCUGCUGUCAGUAUGAAAGGGGAAAGGAAGUGAGGAGAUCCUGCACUGCUCUGGAAAAUACAGGUGCUGAGAGGAAACUUUUAUCCAGAAGAGUUUGUCAAAGAUAAGGGCAUAGGAAAGGAGAAAAGCGAUGAAGAACACUUCAGAGAUAAAAACAUUAGCUCCAGCCCAAUCUCCAGUAAAUAAAUUUACAUCUCUAACUGCUGCUUAUGACUAUCCAGAGAGAGGUACCAUGUGAAUGGGAGGAGAGCAGAGCUAACCUCACCUCUGUGACUGUGAGCAGAGGUCCAGGAACAAGUCUGGUUUCCUAGACAGAAAGGCCCUUUGCAACGUGGUGAACUGCCCUCACAAUGCUACUAACAGUGGCAUUUACUCUUCAUGUGGAUCUCAACUCUACCAGCAGCCUAUAACACCACAGCAAGUGACCUCCAAGGGGUCUACUGAGCCUCAUUGAGCAAUGAAAACAUGAUGACCUUGAUCAAAUAUCUCAGCUGUGGUGAACAUCAAAUAACAGAAAUUGCAAAGGUUGACAAUUAUUUGAGGGACAAAAAGUCUGGAGAUUUUGUAUCAGUAGAAUUCUAACGGCUUCAACAGAAUGCUCUUGAUUUAAGUUGGAAUAAUUGAAAAAUUAAUCACAUCUACAUAUCACCAGAAGAAAGGAGAAAUAAACCAUCUUGGAAUUUGUAGUUCACUAUAAUCUGAAGUAGAGAAGUCCUUGGAGAAAUCCAGUCUAAAACAAUGCCAAACCUCAGCACCGUAUUAGGAAACAAAUAUCUUUACGCUACAGACCAGUUGUUAUUCCAGAGUUGCUUCCUGGCUGAAGCACAACAUGCUUUGUUACUCCAUGCUCACCUGUGUGUAUACAACAGGUUUGGCUACAGAUGAAUGCAUAUAAAGAGUUGGAAGAGAUCACGUUCAGUGCUUUGUCCUUCGUUCUGGUGAGGUGCACUUCUGUUUCCCUACUGAGAGCUCCUAGGCACAUGGAAGCUGUAAGGCCAACCACCUAACCAUAGGAGGGAUGGGAUCGCUGGCAAACAACACAUCCUGCUUCACCUCAAGCACCCUCCACUCUCCAGAAGGUACUUUCCUGCACAUGGCUGAGGAGCUGCUGGAAGACUGAAGGGGCACUCUCUUCAGCUGUGGGGCUGCCCCACCCCCAGUGCUGCUCUUCUGGCACCCAGCUCCUCCCAUGCUCCUUGUGCAGCUGGUGGCCCAGGAAGGAGCCAGCAUUGCCUCAAAUGGAACAGAGAGCAUCAGGCUGUUUUCUCUUUAAAAGAAGAACAAAAAAAAAAAAACAAAAAAAAAACCAAAAACUAGGCUUUCCCCUUUGUUUCUGCCUUCCUGACUCCCUGGUUCAUGUCCUUCAUUAAGGCGUCUUUCUCAGUCAAGUUCUGCAAGGGCCUUCUAGCAAAAAAGAAAUUGUCAAAUCUGGAAGAAGACCAGAGGGUAAAAUUAUGGAUUUAAACCUCCAUUUCUGUCUUUACUAACACGCCAGGUACAGAUCUUCACACUCCUGUGGUCCAUGCUCCAUACAGAUUCAGUUGCUCUGUGUUACAUGCCGGUAUAAAUUCACCAUGUCUCACUGGAGCCCAGGGCCUGUUUUUCCUGCACUGCAACAGUGUGAUUUCAUUGAUGUUAGUGCUGCUGC